GCCGGGGUAGCUCAGACUGGUCAGAGCGCCGGACUCAUAAUCCGGAGGUCGCGGGUUCAAGUCCCGCCCCCGGCACCA
This 78-nucleotide transfer RNA is filed under the name Thermoproteota archaeon. Its description in RNAcentral is "tRNA-Met". It matches the Rfam family "tRNA". From Rfam's summary of the family: Transfer RNA (tRNA) molecules are approximately 80 nucleotides in length. Their secondary structure includes four short double-helical elements and three loops (D, anti-codon, and T loops). Lineage: Archaea; Thermoproteati; Thermoproteota. The record is from RNAcentral.